AUUGAACGCUGGCGGCAUGCUUUACACAUGCAAGUCGAACGGGCCGGGGGCAACUCCGGUCAGUGGCGAACGGGUGAGUAAUGCAUCGGAACGUAUCCCGUAGUGGGGGAUAACCCAGCGAAAGCUGGGCUAAUACCGCAUAUGCUCUAUGGAGGAAAGUGGGGGACCGCGAGGCCUCACGCUAUGGGAGCGGCCGAUGUCCGAUUAGCUAGUUGGUGGGGUAAUGGCCACCAAGGCGACGAUCGGUAGCUGGUCUGAGAGGAUGAUCAGCCACACUGGGACUGAGACACGGCCCAGACUCCUACGGGAGGCAGCAGUGGGGAAUUUUGGACAAUGGGGGCAACCCCUGAUCCAGCCAUGCCGCGUGCGGGAAGAAGGCCUCGGUGU
This 387-nucleotide ribosomal RNA is filed under the name uncultured bacterium. Its description in RNAcentral is "bacterial SSU rRNA". It matches the Rfam family "Bacterial small subunit ribosomal RNA", at positions 28 to 423 of the family's 1533-position model. The record is from RNAcentral.